RNAcentral lists this ribosomal RNA (435 nucleotides) under uncultured bacterium. RNAcentral's name for it is "bacterial SSU rRNA". It matches the Rfam family "Bacterial small subunit ribosomal RNA", at positions 355 to 786 of the family's 1533-position model. The record is from RNAcentral.
UGAGGAAUAUUGGUCAAUGGGCGGGAGCCUGAACCAGCCAAGUCGCGUGAGGGAAGACGGUCUUACGGAUUGUAAACCUCUUUUGCCGGGGAGCAAAGGGCGCCACGCGUGGCGUUUCGAGAGUACCCGGAGAAAAAGCAUCGGCUAACUCCGUGCCAGCAGCCGCGGUAAUACGGAGGAUGCGAGCGUUAUCCGGAUUUAUUGGGUUUAAAGGGUGCGUAGGCGGGCCGGUAAGUCAGCGGUAAAAUAGCGGGGCUCAACCCCGUCGAGCCGCUUGAAACAUGCCGGUCUUGAGUGGGCGAGAAGUGCGCGGAAUGCGUGGUGUAGCGGUGAAAUGCAUAGAUAUCACGCAGAACCCCGAUUGCGAAGGCAGCGCACCGGCGCCCUACUGACGCUGAAGCACGAAAGCGUGGGGAUCGAACAGGAUUAGAUACC